RNAcentral lists this ribosomal RNA (730 nucleotides) under uncultured bacterium. Its description in RNAcentral is "bacterial SSU rRNA". It matches the Rfam family "Bacterial small subunit ribosomal RNA", at positions 62 to 803 of the family's 1533-position model. The record is from RNAcentral.
UUAAGACAGAUUACUUCGGUUUGAAGUCUUUUAUGACUGAGUGGCGGACGGGUGAGUAACGCGUGGGUAACCUGCCUCAUACAGGGGGAUAGCAGCUGGAAACGGCUGGUAAUACCGCAUAAGCGCACGGUAUCGCAUGAUACAGUGUGAAAAACUCCGGUGGUAUGAGAUGGACCCGCGUCUGAUUAGCUGGUUGGUGAGGUAACGGCCCACCAAGGCGACGAUCAGUAGCCGACCUGAGAGGGUGACCGGCCACAUUGGGACUGAGACACGGCCCAGACUCCUACGGGAGGCAGCAGUGGGGAAUAUUGCACAAUGGAGGAAACUCUGAUGCAGCGACGCCGCGUGAGUAAAGAAGUAGUUCGCUAUGUAAAGCUCUAUCAGCAGGGAAGAUAGUGACGGUACCUGACUAAGAAGCUCCGGCUAAAUACGUGCCAGCAGCCGCGGUAAUACGUAUGGAGCAAGCGUUAUCCGGAUUUACUGGGUGUAAAGGGAGUGUAGGUGGCCAGGCAAGUCAGAAGUGAAAGCCCGGGGCUCAACCCCGGGACUGCUUUUGAAACUGCAGGGCUAGAGUGCAGGAGGGGCAAGUGGAAUUCCUAGUGUAGCGGUGAAAUGCGUAGAUAUUAGGAGGAACACCAGUGGCGAAGGCGGCUUGCUGGACUGUAACUGACACUGAGGCUCGAAAGCGUGNGGAGCAAACAGGAUUAGAUACCCUGGUAGUCCNCGCCGU